This 486-nucleotide ribosomal RNA is filed under the name uncultured bacterium. RNAcentral describes it as "partial 16S ribosomal RNA". It matches the Rfam family "Bacterial small subunit ribosomal RNA", at positions 34 to 507 of the family's 1533-position model. The record is from RNAcentral.
CUUGCCCGCUGGCGGCAUGCCUUACACAUGCAAGUCGAACGGCAGCACGGGUGCUUGCACCUGGUGGCGAGUGGCGAACGGGUGGGUAAUACAUCGGAACAUGUCCUGUAGUGGGGGAUAGCCCGGCGAAAGCCGGAUUAAUACCGCAUACGAUCUACGGAUGAAAGCGGGGGACCUUCGGGCCUCGCGCUAUAGGGUUGGCCGAUGGCUGAUUAGCUAGUUGGUGGGGUAAAGGCCUACCAAGGCGACGAUCAGUAGCUGGUCUGAGAGGACGACCAGCCACACUGGGACUGAGACACGGCCCAGACUCCUACGGGAGGCAGCAGUGGGGAAUUUUGGACAAUGGGCGAAAGCCUGAUCCAGCAAUGCCGCGUGUGUGAAGAAGGCCUUCGGGUUGUAAAGCACUUUUGUCCGGAAAGAAAUCCUUGGCCCUAAUACGGUCGGGGGAUGACGGUACCGGAAGAAUAAGCACCGGCUAACUACGUG